CGGGCCUCUUGCCAUCGGAUGUGCCCAGAUGGGAUUAGCUAGUAGGUGGGGUAACGGCUCACCUAGGCGACGAUCCCUAGCUGGUCUGAGAGGAUGACCAGCCACACUGGGGCUGAGACACGGUCCAGACUCCUACGGGAGGCAGCAGUGGGGAAUAUUGCACAAUGGGCGCAAGCCUGAUGCAGCCAUGCCGCGUGUAUGAAGAAGGCCUUCGGGUUGUAAAGUACUUUCAGCGGGGAGGAAGGGAGUAAAGUUAAUACCUUUGCUCAUUGACGUUACCCGCAGAAGAAGCACCGGCUAACUCCGUGCCAGCAGCCGCGGUAAUACGGAGGGUGCAGGCGUUAAUCGGAAUUACUGGGCGUAAAGCGCACGCAGGCGGUUUGUUAAGUCAGAUGUGAAAUCCCCGGGCUCAACCUGGGAACUGCAUCUGAUACUGGCAAGCUUGAGUCUCGUAGAGGGGGGUAGAAUUCCAGGUGUAGCGGUGAAAUGCGUAGAGAUCUGGAGGAAUACCGGUGGCGAAGGCGGCCCCCUGGACGAAGACUGACGCUCAGGUGCGAAAGCGUGGGGAGCAAACAGGAUUAGAUACUCUGGUAGUCCACGCCGUAAACGAUGUCGACUUGGAGGUUGUGCCCUUGAGGCGUGGCUUCCGGAGCUAACGCGUUAAGUCGACCGCCUGGGGAGUACGGCCGCAAGGUUAAAACUCAAAUGAAUUGACGGGGGCCCGCACAAGCGGUGGAGCAUGUGGUUUAAUUCGAUGCAACGCGAAGAACCUUACCUGGUCUUGACAUCCACAGAACUUUCCAGAGAUGGAUUGGUGCCUUCGGGAACUGUGAGACAGGUGCUGCAUGGCUGUCGUCAGCUCGUGUUGUGAAAUGUUGGGUUAAGUCCCGCAACGAGCGCAACCCUUAUCUUUUGUUGCCAGCGGUCCGGCCGGGAACUCAAAGGAGACUGCCAGUGAUAAACUGGAGGAAGGUGGGGAUGACGUCAAGUCAUCAUGGCCCUUACGACCAGGGCUACACACGUGCUACAAUGGCGCAUACAAAGAGAAGCGACCUCGCGAGAGCAAGCGGACCUCAUAAAGUGCGUCGUAGUCCGGAUUGGAGUCUGCAACUCGACUCCAUGAAGUCGGAAUCGCUAGUAACCGUGGAUCAGAAUGCCACGGUGAAUACGUUCCCGGGCCUUGUACACACCGCCCGUCACACCAUGGGAGUGGGUUGCAAAAGAAGUAAGUAGCUUAACCUUCGGGGGGGCGCUUACCACUUUGUGAUUCAUGACUGGGGUGAAGUCGGAACAAGGUA
RNAcentral lists this ribosomal RNA (1298 nucleotides) under metagenome. RNAcentral's name for it is "bacterial SSU rRNA". It matches the Rfam family "Bacterial small subunit ribosomal RNA", at positions 207 to 1498 of the family's 1533-position model. The record is from RNAcentral.